RNAcentral lists this unclassified non-coding RNA (904 nucleotides) under Orussus abietinus. RNAcentral's name for it is "uncharacterized LOC105694619, transcript variant X2". Lineage: Eukaryota; Metazoa; Arthropoda; Insecta; Hymenoptera; Orussidae. The record is from RNAcentral.
CAUGGCUAACCAAUCAAAUACGUUACUGUAAAAAACUUGUGACAAAUGACCGUGGAGAUCGUCAUAUACGUCCUACUUUUUAAAUUUUAUUACAAAAUUUGUAUUAAUUGAGAAGUUGUUUAGUUUCAUGAUGAAAAUAAAACAAAUGCAGUAAUAUUUGCAUGAGUGGAAACAAAAUCAGACAGGCUCAUACUCUGCAAUUGACAUGUGAGUUUCACUCAAAAUAAAGCAGCAGGAAUAAAAAAAAACAAGCUGAAUAACUUGUAUAGUUACAUUCCUAUGUCAUUGAAAAUAAGAAAACACGGAGCAAUGUACUUCAUCUGGGGUGACUGGUUUACCAACGAGGUUCGAACAUCUGAUGAUUCAGUUGUCUCGAUAGUUGUAAUGAAUGACAGUAUCACUAGAAGUAUUACUGUACCUGGAUAUGGUGUAUACCAUAGUAAUUGGUUUAAAAGUGAUGCAGACUUGAAAAAACAUUAUUGGGCAGCAUCGCUUUUGUUACCCAUUGGAUCAGUUUUCAUACUAGCAGUAGUUAUACUACUUAUGGUAUUGUUCAAAAGGUGUCCACAGAUGGUGGCCGCGAUUGUUGCCGGAGUUCUCGGUGUAAUUAUUGUCUUUAUAGUCCUUAUAACAGUUAAUCAAUCCCCUGUUUAUUGGUGACGUAAUAAGGAAUGAUAUUACUAUUUCAUUAUCAUAAUUACCAUAAGUGUUCCAAAAGUCGUAUCAUAUCAUCUGACACCCUGGCAACUACAUCGAAGUACUUAUCUAAUGUUUCCUUCAACUGCUCGUAACACUGAAACAAGAACCGGAAAGCCUUAAUUUUACAUUUCUAGAGAAGAAAACCGUCUUGAAAUCAAAUAAAAGAUGUGCCUUUAUACAUGCAAAUAAAAUCAAAGUACCUGAA